RNAcentral lists this ribosomal RNA (570 nucleotides) under uncultured bacterium. RNAcentral's name for it is "bacterial SSU rRNA". It matches the Rfam family "Bacterial small subunit ribosomal RNA", at positions 336 to 916 of the family's 1533-position model. The record is from RNAcentral.
CUCCUACGGGAGGCAGCAGUGGGGAAUAUUGCACAAUGGGCGGAAGCCUGAUGCAGCAACGCCGCGUGCGGGAUGACGGCCUUCGGGUUGUAAACCGCUUUCGCCUGUGACGAAGCGUGAGUGACGGUAAUGGGUAAAGAAGCACCGGCUAACUACGUGCCAGCAGCCGCGGUGAUACGUAGGGUGCGAGCGUUGUCCGGAUUUAUUGGGCGUAAAGGGCUCGUAGGUGGUUGAUCGCGUCGGAAGUGUAAUCUUGGGGCUUAACCCUGAGCGUGCUUUCGAUACGGGUUGACUUGAGGAAGGUAGGGGAGAAUGGAAUUCCUGGUGGAGCGGUGGAAUGCGCAGAUAUCAGGAGGAACACCAGUGGCGAAGGCGGUUCUCUGGGCCUUUCCUGACGCUGAGGAGCGAAAGCGUGGGGAGCGAACAGGCUUAGAUACCCUGGUAGUCCACGCUGUAAACGGUGGGUACUAGGUGUGGGGUCCAUUCCACGGGUUCCGCGCCGUAGCUAACGCUUUAAGUACCCCGCAUGGGGAGUACGGCCGCAAGGCUAAAACUCAAAGGAAUUGACGG